Molecule: ribosomal RNA, 559 nt
Filed under: uncultured bacterium
Lineage: Bacteria
Description: bacterial SSU rRNA
Rfam family: Bacterial small subunit ribosomal RNA
Source: RNAcentral
UUUUAACUGCCUAAGGAUGAGCUCGCGCCUGAUUAGCUAGUUGGUAAGGUAAUGGCUUACCAAGGCCACGAUCAGUAGCUGGUUUGAGAGAACGAUCAGCCACACUGGGACUGAGACACGGCCCAGACUCCUCCGGGAGGCAGCAGUGAGGAAUUUUCCGCAAUGGGCGAAAGCCUGACGGAGCAAUACCGCGUGAGGGAUGAAGGAUUUUGGUCUGUAAACCUCUUUUCUCAAGAAAGAAGUUCUGACGGUACUUGAGGAAUAAGCAUCGGCUAACUCCGUGCCAGCAGCCGCGGUAAUACGGGGGAUGCAAGCGUUAUCCGGAAUCAUUGGGCGUAAAGCGCCUGUAGGUUGUUUAAUAAGUCUGUUGUUAAAGACUAGGGCUUAACCCUAGAAAAGCAAUGGAAACUAAUAGACUAGAGUAUGGCAGGGGUAGAGGGAAUUUCUAGUGUAGCGGUGAAAUGCGUAGAUAUUAGAAAGAACACCAGUGGCGAAGGCGCUCUACUGGACCAUUACUGACACUCAGAGGCGAAAGCUAGGGGAGCAAAAGGGAUUAGAU